This 45-nucleotide non-coding RNA is filed under the name Schistosoma margrebowiei. The record is from RNAcentral. Lineage: Eukaryota; Metazoa; Platyhelminthes; Trematoda; Strigeidida; Schistosomatidae.
AUCCAGCUGAAGAGUCCGGGAUAGGACGAAAUACUUAUCCUAGAU